RNAcentral lists this ribosomal RNA (253 nucleotides) under uncultured bacterium. RNAcentral describes it as "partial 16S ribosomal RNA". It matches the Rfam family "Bacterial small subunit ribosomal RNA", at positions 524 to 776 of the family's 1533-position model. RNAcentral also lists the same sequence under 1 other name. The record is from RNAcentral.
UACGUAGGGUGCGAGCGUUGUCCGGAAUUAUUGGGCGUAAAGGGCUCGUAGGCGGUUUGUCGCGUCGGGAGUGAAAACCAGGUGCUUAACACCUGGCUUGCUUUCGAUACGGGCAGACUAGAGGUAUGCAGGGGAGAACGGAAUUCCUGGUGUAGCGGUGAAAUGCGCAGAUAUCAGGAGGAACACCGGUGGCGAAGGCGGUUCUCUGGGCAUGACCUGACGCUGAGGAGCGAAAGUGUGGGGAGCGAACAGG